RNAcentral lists this ribosomal RNA (1452 nucleotides) under Microbacterium sp. RNAcentral describes it as "bacterial SSU rRNA". It matches the Rfam family "Bacterial small subunit ribosomal RNA". RNAcentral also lists the same sequence under 1 other name. The record is from RNAcentral. Lineage: Bacteria; Bacillati; Actinomycetota; Actinomycetes; Micrococcales; Microbacteriaceae.
CAGGAUGAACGCUGGCGGCGUGCUUAACACAUGCAAGUCGAACGGUGAAGCAGAGCUUGCUCUGUGGAUCAGUGGCGAACGGGUGAGUAACACGUGAGCAAUCUGCCCCUGACUCUGGGAUAAGCGCUGGAAACGGCGUCUAAUACCGGAUACGAGCUGCGACCGCAUGGUCAGUAGCUGGAAAGAAUUUCGGUCAGGGAUGAGCUCGCGGCCUAUCAGCUUGUUGGUGAGGUAAUGGCUCACCAAGGCGUCGACGGGUAGCCGGCCUGAGAGGGUGACCGGCCACACUGGGACUGAGACACGGCCCAGACUCCUACGGGAGGCAGCAGUGGGGAAUAUUGCACAAUGGGCGAAAGCCUGAUGCAGCAACGCCGCGUGAGGGAUGACGGCCUUCGGGUUGUAAACCUCUUUUAGCAGGGAAGAAGCGAAAGUGACGGUACCUGCAGAAAAAGCGCCGGCUAACUACGUGCCAGCAGCCGCGGUAAUACGUAGGGCGCAAGCGUUAUCCGGAAUUAUUGGGCGUAAAGAGCUCGUAGGCGGUCUGUCGCGUCUGCUGUGAAAACCCGAGGCUCAACCUCGGGCCUGCAGUGGGUACGGGCAGACUAGAGUGCGGUAGGGGAGAUUGGAAUUCCUGGUGUAGCGGUGGAAUGCGCAGAUAUCAGGAGGAACACCGAUGGCGAAGGCAGAUCUCUGGGCCGUAACUGACGCUGAGGAGCGAAAGGGUGGGGAGCAAACAGGCUUAGAUACCCUGGUAGUCCACCCCGUAAACGUUGGGAACUAGUUGUGGGGUCCAUUCCACGGAUUCCGUGACGCAGCUAACGCAUUAAGUUCCCCGCCUGGGGAGUACGGCCGCAAGGCUAAAACUCAAAGGAAUUGACGGGGACCCGCACAAGCGGCGGAGCAUGCGGAUUAAUUCGAUGCAACGCGAAGAACCUUACCAAGGCUUGACAUAUAGAGGAAACGUCUGGAAACAGUCGCCCCGCAAGGUCUCUAUACAGGUGGUGCAUGGUUGUCGUCAGCUCGUGUCGUGAGAUGUUGGGUUAAGUCCCGCAACGAGCGCAACCCUCGUUCUAUGUUGCCAGCACGUAAUGGUGGGAACUCAUGGGAUACUGCCGGGGUCAACUCGGAGGAAGGUGGGGAUGACGUCAAAUCAUCAUGCCCCUUAUGUCUUGGGCUUCACGCAUGCUACAAUGGCCGGUACAAAGGGCUGCAAUACCGUGAGGUGGAGCGAAUCCCAAAAAGCCGGUCCCAGUUCGGAUUGAGGUCUGCAACUCGACCUCAUGAAGUCGGAGUCGCUAGUAAUCGCAGAUCAGCAACGCUGCGGUGAAUACGUUCCCGGGUCUUGUACACACCGCCCGUCAAGUCAUGAAAGUCGGUAACACCUGAAGCCGGUGGCCCAACCCUUGUGGAGGGAGCCGUCGAAGGUGGGAUCGGUAAUUAGGACUAAGUCGU